AAUAAGCAAAUCAAUCUCAGACCAUGGACUAGUUUCCAGACAUCUCUGGGCCGAUUCUUGGAGGAGGCAGCUCCUGGCAAAGCCACCCCCCAGAGUCAGGCCCUCAAUGGUUCUCCCAGCGCAGUGGGCCCUGGGUGCAGCGAUGGUGCAGAGAUCGGUGUGAUGCUGGCUCUACCUGCGGUUCCUGACCCCUCCAGGGGCUCCAGCGCGGCUCCCCCAUCCUCAGGCAGAGCUCAGAGCAGAGUCAGCAGCCCCUCCCCGGCAAGAGCUCCAAGCGAAGGCAGAGGCCUGGCAGAGAGAGGAGAGGGGCACAGGCAGGUCAGCGGAGGGGUGGAAGGUGGAUCCCACCCCAGGAGAUUUAACAGAGAGAGGAAAGCGGGGCUGUGAGAGUGCAGAACAGAGACACCCCCAAGCAAAUCCCCCCACCCCAGACACCGAGAUCCCGGCCUGGGAGAGCCCUGGCAGAGGGGUUCGCUCCCCAACACUUACUCACGACAGCUGCAGCAAGGAGUCCUUGUGGGGUGGGAGGAGCUGCCACCCCGCUCCAGCUGGCUGGAUCUGGAGAGAUACAACAGUGAAGAGUGCGGUGAGGAGUUGGGGCCCUGGGAAAGAGGUGAAACAAGAGUGGGGGCUAAGGGCAGAACAGGGGGGGAGCAUCUACUGGGAAAAAUAAGUCAGUGCCUGUGGAGGGGAAGGCCGGGGGCUCUGUUCCACAAGGGCUGAGCGUGUCAGAGCAAAACUCCUGCGCAGUGUCAUUGUGGCCUCCCCCUGAGCGUCCCUGAUUCCCCAGGGUAUACUGCAUUUCCCCGGCUCCUUCCCUUGCUAGGUGUAAUUUCAGGAAAUGAAACAAAUCACUCUCCUGUCCCUAACCCCCACAGCCGCUGUGUAUGAGCCACUGCCAGGCCUCUCGAGAUGGGCUAACAUCUGGAUCCUGACCAAGCUGGUUCUAUCCCACGUGGCCAAUUGCAAGUGACCAAAAAAAAAAAAAAAAAAUCACAAGUCAGAGCCCCCACAAAAAACAUUUGAUUGUUUUUAGAGUCUUGUUGGUUUUAAGCCAACAAUUUUGGGUUCUGUUCUCCAUCUCCUGGUGUUGGAGCCUUUUCGGGGGGGGGGGGGGGGUGUCACCUUUUCAAGCUUUUCUCCCCAUCCAGGAGAGCAAGAGCAAGAAAAAUUUCUGCCAGGAAUGGCCAACCCCACCAAAAACUUCUACCAGCACCGGAAAACAGCUAGUCCAAAAUUGGGGAAAAAACAAAACAAAAACCCCACACCAUCCAAACCAUUUUUGGUUUUUGAAUUUUCCAACAAAAAAUUGAUUUUUCCCUGUUAAAGUGACACUUUCCACAAAAAAUUGUCUUUAAUCAAACACCCAAUUUUCCCUAGCAAAAAAUGUUGAUGGAAACAUUUCAGUGUAUUAGUUAAAGUUGCUGUGAACUCCCCACCUCCCCACACAUCCCCACCGGCACCAGCCCCCGCACCUAUGGGGCAUGCAGCUGUGGCCCCUGCCUGGCUGUAGGGCCCUUUCCCUGCCCCCCAAACAGCAGCUGGAGCCACGCCCCUCCUCCCCCUCCCGUGCUCCCGCCCCUUGUCCAAUCAGAAGCAAUAUGCUAAUAAGGUGUAUGGUCUUCCCGUGCUGUGUAGUUUCAUUCUCCUCGCGGCUGGCUUUUUCGCUCGCUUUGCCUUGCAGGAGCCAUGGGGGAAGACAUGAUGUGUGUGAAGGGGGGAGUUGGGGCUCCCCCCUCAGCUAAUGCACAGAGCGGGGGAGAUGGAGCAGGGACCUGCCUUGCAAAGGAUGCUGCAGCCAUGGAGUCCCUGGAGGAGAGGGAUCCGGGUGCAAACUCUGCCCCAGGGACUGGCUGCUGCACGGGGACAAGUGCUACUGGCUGUCUAAGGAGCGUAAAGACUGGACUGGGAGCUGUGACGACUGCUCGGGGAAGAGCUCUCGCAUGCUCGUGAUCCAGAACCGGGAGGAGAUGGUAACAGAAAAUACAGGCUCAUCCAACUCCAGCUGGGGAAAGACGAUUUCAUACAAGAUGUUGUACAAGACGCAAACUACAUCUGGAUUGGCCUUAAAGUGACACCCCCGGGGGGGAAAUGGACCUGGGUGGACGGUUCCCCAUUAGAUCCAGUGCGGUGAGUGCUGCCUGACGUUUACUCUUUGAGAUGUUUGGGGAAAGCUCCCAUUGUAUAACUUGCUAACGCUGAAUGUCCAACGUCUGUUUGAGGCCUGGUCUACACUGAAAAGUCUUCCCAGCGUGACUACGUCGGUUAAGGGUAUUUUUCCGAACAGAGGUGUGCCAGCAAAGGCCCUAGUGUAGCUGCCGUUCUACCAAUGUCUCUGUGUGUAGAGCAGUGUAGCUUAGGGGGACCAGGGGAGCUGGCAUGAGCGAUAGUGGUAGAAGCACGUGUAUAUGGAUAGAACUGUACUUAUCCUUAGGGGACCCAGCUAUUUCCCUCUUUCCAUUGUGAAAACUGAGCAUUUAUUCCUGUUGUUUCCUAUCUUUUAACCAGUUACUGAUCCAUGAGAGGACCUUCCCCCUUAUCCCAUGACACCUUCCUUUGCUUAAAAGCCUUUGGUGAGGGACCUUAUAGUUUCCUACUUCUAAUGUACUUAAUUUUUUUAGGUUUUGCAUCUUUAGGAAGUUGCUUCUCAAACUCUUCCUUGGCCUGCCUCCUUAUACUUUACAAUUUACUUGCUGGAGUUUUGCUCCGUCCUAGUUUCCUCAUUAGGUUUAGACUUCCAGUUUUCAAGGAUGCUUUUUGCCUCUAAUGGCCUCCUUUACUCUGCUGUUUAGCCAGGAUAGCAUUUUUCUGGUCCUCCUCCUGUCUUUUUUUAUUUGGGGUACAC
Molecule: RNA transcript, 2845 nt
Organism: Chelonia mydas (Green sea turtle)
Lineage: Eukaryota; Metazoa; Chordata; Testudines; Cheloniidae
Gene name: killer cell lectin-like receptor subfamily F member 1
Exons: 3
Source: RefSeq, a predicted model, not a curated record